This 417-nucleotide unclassified non-coding RNA is filed under the name Bombus terrestris (buff-tailed bumblebee). Its description in RNAcentral is "misc RNA ENSBTSG00005024765.1". The record is from RNAcentral. Lineage: Eukaryota; Metazoa; Arthropoda; Insecta; Hymenoptera; Apidae.
CGCCACUUUAACGACGAUGUGCCAGGACGACAUUCUUUCGCUCGACGUACAUUGAUGCCUACUUUCGUCAUCGAAACUCGAUUCUGAUUUCCAACGAUUUCUUAGCAUUCACCGAGCAUUGAUCUACCGUGAACGGCGACCACAAAGGAGACAGGCUUAGUCACAGGCACAGGUACUGUUAGUCGACGAGAUACAGCGAUCUUCGCGAAGUUGGCAAGAAGCUGAGACAACAGGUACUUCAAAAAUUCUCACAAUUUAGGCUUCUACAAACAAGAAAACUCCGCAGCCAGUUUGUUCGUUUUAACGUGUCUUAUUGUUCUUCAAAUUCUUGAAACUCUGUAGAACUGUAGGAUCUAGGUGAGAGAAGAAAUAACGGCGAAAAGAAAGUCAAUAGUAGAGUUCGACGAUGUAAAUUCA